UUAAAGUAGUAAGGGCGCAGGGUGGAUGCCUUGGCACUAAGAGCCGAUGAAAGACGUGAUAAGCUGCGAAAAGCUUCGGGGAGGAGCACAUAUCCAAUGAUCCGGAGAUAUCUGAAUGGGGAAACCCGGCAGAGGAAACCUCUGUCAGCGUGCAGUGAAUACAUAGCUGUACGUGGGGAACCCGGGGAACUGAAACAUCUAAGUACCCGGAGGAAGAGAAAGAAAAUUUAUCGAUUUCCAAAGUAGCGGCGAGCGAAAUGGAAAGAGCCCAAACCGUGAUGCGUGCAUCGCGGGGUUCGGACUGCGUUGUGGCAGACGUAAGAUAGGAGAACGGACUGGGAAGUCCGGCCGGAGAGAGUGAAAGCCUCGUAUCCGAAAUCCCAAGUCGCCUAGCAGGAUCCAGAGUAGGACGAGACACGAGAAACCUUGUCUGAACGAGCGGGGACCACCCCGUAAGGCUAAAUACUUCUUAGUGACCGAUAGCGCAUAGUACUGUGAAGGAAAGGUGAAAAGUACCCCGGGAGGGGAGUGAAAGAGAACCUGAAACCCUGUGUCUACAAGCUGUGGGACCUCUUUAUAUGAGGGACUGCGUACUUUUUGUAGAACGGUCCGGCGAGUUGUGCGUACUGGCGAGGUUAAGGACUUAAGGUCUGGAGCCGAAGUGAAAGCAAGCGUUAAUAGCGCGUCAAGUCAGUGAGUGCAGACCCGAAACCGGGUGACCUAUCCAUGUCCAGGUUGAAGCUUCCGUAAGAGGAAGUGGAGGACCGAACCCACAUCCGUUGAAAAGGGUGGGGAUGAGGUGUGGAUAGCGGAGAAAUUCCAAUCGAACCCGGAGAUAGCUGGUUCUCCUCGAAAUAGCUUUAGGGCUAGCCUCAUGAGAGUCUUAUGGAGGUAGAGCACUGAAUUGCCUAGGGGGCGUCAAAGCUUACCAAAGCAUAUCAAACUCCGAAUGCCAUCAAGAUGAUUCAUGGGAGUCAGACCAUACGAGAUAAGUUGGAUGGUCAAAAGGGAAAGAGCCCAGACCUACAGCUAAGGUCCCAAAGUGCGUGUUAAGUGGAAAAGGAUGUGGGGAUUCUAAGACAACUAGGACGUUGGCUUAGAAGCAGCCAUUCAUUGAAAGAGUGCGUAAUAGCUCACUAGUCGAGAGUCCCUGCGCCGAAAAUGUCCGGGGCUGAAACACGACACCGAAGCUUAGGAAUGUGUAAACAUUGGUAGAGGAGCAUUGUUAGCGGGAUGAAGCCAUACCGUAAGGAGUGGUGGACUGCUAGGAAGAGAGAAUGCCGGAAUGAGUAGCGAGAUGAAGGUGAGAAUCCUUCAGGCCGAAUAUCUAAGGUUUCCAGAGUAAAGCUGAUCUGCUCUGGGUAAGUCGGGACCUAAGGCGAGGUCGAAAGACGUAGUCGAUGGAUAACAGGUUGAAAUUCCUGUACUAUGAUAUGACAGAACUGUGGGGACACGUGUGGAAAGCGGAAGCCGGGAAUGGAAAGACCGGUGCAAGCAAGGUAGGAGACUGGUUGGCAAAUCCGCCAGUCAAUCUGAAGAUGUGAUGCGUACUGAAAUAUAAGUAAGGAAGUCCGUGAGCCAUGCGUCAAGAAAAGCCGCUAUUGUUCAUAUCGUACCCGUACCGUAAACCGACACAGGUGGAUGAGGAGAGAAUCCUAAGGCCGACGGGAGAAGCAUUGUUAAGGAACUCGGCAAAAUGACUCCGUAACUUCGGGAGAAGGAGUGCCAGUGAGAGCUGGCCGCAGAGAAUUGGCCCAAGCAACUGUUUAGCAAAAACACAGGUCUAUGCAAAACCGAAAGGUGAAGUAUAUGGGCUGACGCCUGCCCGGUGCUGGAAGGUUAAGGGGAGAGGUUAGCAGUAAUGCGAAGCUUUGAACUUAAGCCCCAGUAAACGGCGGCCGUAACUAUAACGGUCCUAAGGUAGCGAAAUUCCUUGUCGGGUAAGUUCC
This 1949-nucleotide ribosomal RNA is filed under the name human gut metagenome. Its description in RNAcentral is "bacterial LSU rRNA". It matches the Rfam family "Bacterial large subunit ribosomal RNA", at positions 1 to 1984 of the family's 2925-position model. The record is from RNAcentral.